RNAcentral lists this ribosomal RNA (506 nucleotides) under uncultured bacterium. RNAcentral's name for it is "partial 16S ribosomal RNA". It matches the Rfam family "Bacterial small subunit ribosomal RNA", at positions 30 to 523 of the family's 1533-position model. The record is from RNAcentral.
AUUGAACGCUGGCGGCAGGCCUAACACAUGCAAGUCGAACGGUAACAGAAAGUAGCUUGCUACUUUGCUGACGAGUGGCGGACGGGUGAGUAAUGUCUGGGGAUCUGCCUGAUGGAGGGGGAUAACUACAGGAAACGGUAGCUAAUACCGCAUAAUGUCGCAAGACCAAAGCGGGGGACUUUCGGGCCUCGCACCAUCAGAUGAACCCAGAUGGGAUUAGCUAGUAGGUAAGGUAAUGGCUUACCUAGGGGACGAUCCCUAGCUGGUCUGAGAGGAUGACCAGCCACACGGGAACCGAGACACGGUCCAGACUCCUACGGGAGGCAGCAGUGGGGAAUAUUGCACAAUGGGCGCAAGCCUGAUGCAGCCAUGCCGCGUGUAUGAAGAAGGCCUUCGGGUUGUAAAGUACUUUCAGUCAGGAGGAAGGGUGUGAAAUUAAUACUUUCAUGCAUUGACGUUACUGACAGAAGAAGCACCGGCUAACUCCGUGCCAGCCGCCGCGGUAA